GAUUGAUGUGCUGUCUUAAUUAUGGCUGUGUGUCCCUGCCUGAAUCGGUCUCUAGAUGUCUCACUACUGGUGUGGGAUAUUGCAUUUAGCGAUCCGCCUGAGGUCGGUGUACUUGUUCUAGAGAGUAGAGUGUUGUGUUGUGUGUGUUGUGUGUUGUGUACUUGUUCUAGAGAGUGUUGUGUUGUGUGUUGUGUACUUGUUCUAGAGAGUGUUGUGUUGUGUGUUGUGUGUUGUGUUGUGUUGUGUGUUGUGUGUUGUGUACUUGUUCUAGAGAGUGUUGUGUUGUGUGUUGUGUGUUGUGUGUUGUGUACUUGUUCUAGAGAGUGUUGUGUUGUGUGUUGUGUGUUGUGUACUUGUUCUAGAGAGUGUUAUGUUGUGUGUUGUGUGUUGUGUGUUGUGUGUUGUGUACUUGUUGUAGAGAGUGUUAUGUUGUGUGUUGUGUGUUGUGUGUUGUGUACUUGUUGUAGAGAGUGUUAUGUUGUGUGUUGUGUGUUGUGUACUUGUGUACUUGUUGUAGAGAGUGUUGUGUUGUGUGUUGUGUGUUAUGUUGUGUGUUGUGUGUUGUGUGUUGUGUGUUGUGUACUUGUGCUAGAGAGUGUUAUGUUGUGUGUUGUGUGUUGUGUGUUGUGUGUUGUGUACUUGUUCUAGAGAGUGUUGUGUGUUGUGUUAUGUUGUGUGUUGUGUGUUGUAUGUUGUGUGUUGUAUGUUGUGUGUUGUGUGUUGUUCUAGAGUGUUAUGUUGUGUGUUGUGUGUUGUGUUGUGUGUUGUGUGUUGUGUGUCAUGUUGUGUGUUGUGUGUUGUGUGUUGUGUGUUGUGUACUUGUUCUAGAGAGUGUUAUGUUGUGUGUUGUGUGUUGUGUACUUGUUCAAGAGAGUGUUGUGUUGUGUGUUGUGUGUUGUGUACUUGUUUUUGAGAGUGUUAUGUUGUGUGUUGUGUGUUGUGUUGUGUGUUGUGUACUUGUUCUAGAGAGUGUUAUGUUGUGUGUUGUGUGUUGUGUGUUGUGUACUUGUUCCAGAGAGUGUUAUGUUGUGUGUUGUGUGUUGUGUACUUGUUCAAGAGAGUGUUAUGUUGUUGUGUUGUGUGUUGUGUGUUGUGUGUUGUGUACUUGUUCUAGAGAGUGUUGUGUUGUGUGUUGUGUACUUGUUCAAGAGAGUGUUGUGUUGUGUGUUGUGUGUUGUGUGUUGUGUACUUGUUUUUGAGAGUGUUAUGUUGUGUGUUGUGUGUUGUGUGUUGUGUUGUGUGUUGUGUGUUGUGUACUUGUUGUAGAGAGUGUUGUGUUGUGUGUUGUGUGUUGUGUACUUGUUGUAGAGAGUGUUGUGUUGUGUGUUGUGUACUUGUUCUGGAGAGUGUUAUGCUACCUGGUUGGAGUUCAUAUUGUCUUAUCUGCACGUGUGUGUGUGUGCACGUCAGUUCUGUGUCUGUGUGUCCCACUGGCAUGCAUGAGAGAGCACCAAGAACAUAGAUCCACUGUAGGCCUAUAUUAGCAUGUGUGUUAUUGCAGACAGCCCCACUGUAUAUUAGCAUGCGUGUUAUUGCAGUCAUAGUCAUAGCCCCACUGUAGGCCUACAAUUUUCAUGUUUUACACCUAUACAGGG
Long non-coding RNA from Clupea harengus (Atlantic herring), 1595 nucleotides. Lineage: Eukaryota; Metazoa; Chordata; Actinopteri; Clupeiformes; Clupeidae. The record is from Ensembl.